RNAcentral lists this ribosomal RNA (695 nucleotides) under Paramyrothecium sp. Its description in RNAcentral is "partial large subunit ribosomal RNA". It matches the Rfam family "Eukaryotic large subunit ribosomal RNA", at positions 76 to 805 of the family's 3401-position model. The record is from RNAcentral. Lineage: Eukaryota; Fungi; Ascomycota; Sordariomycetes; Hypocreales; Stachybotryaceae.
UGCCUCAGUAACGGCGAGUGAAGCGGCAACAGCUCAAAUUUGAAAUCUGGCCCCAGGCCCGAGUUGUAAUUUGCAGAGGAUGCUUUUGGUGAGGUGCCUUCCGAGUUCCCUGGAACGGGACGCCAUAGAGGGUGAGAGCCCCGUCUGGUCGGACACCGAGCCUCUGUAAAGCUCCUUCGACGAGUCGAGUAGUUUGGGAAUGCUGCUCUAAAUGGGAGGUAUAUGUCUUCUAAAGCUAAAUACCGGCCAGAGACCGAUAGCGCACAAGUAGAGUGAUCGAAAGAUGAAAAGCACUUUGAAAAGAGAGUUAAAUAGCACGUGAAAUUGUUGAAAGGGAAGCGUUUAUGACCAGACUUGGCCCGGUUGAUCAUCCAGCGUUCUCGCUGGUGCACUCUGCCGGUCCAGGCCAGCAUCAGUUCGUCGCGGGGGAUAAAGGUUUCGGGAAUGUGGCUCCUCCGGGAGUGUUAUAGCCCGUUGCGUAAUACCCUGCGGUGGACUGAGGUCCGCGCUUCUGCAAGGAUGCUGGCGUAAUGGUCAUCAACGACCCGUCUUGAAACACGGACCAAAGGAGUCGUCUUCGUAUGCGAGUGUUCGGGUGUAAAACCCCUACGCGUAAUGAAAGUGAACGCAAGUGAGAGCUUCGGCGCAUCAUCGACCGAUCCUGAUGUUCUCGGAUGGAUUUGAGUAGAGCAUAC